UACGUAGGGUGCGAGCGUUGUCCGGAAUUAUUGGGCGUAAAGAGCUCGUAGGCGGUUUGUCGCGUCUGCCGUGAAAGUCCGGGGCUCAACUCCGGAUCUGCGGUGGGUACGGGCAGACUAGAGUGAUGUAGGGGAGACUGGAAUUCCUGGUGUAGCGGUGAAAUGCGCAGAUAUCAGGAGGAACACCGAUGGCGAAGGCAGGUCUCUGGGCAUCAACUGACGCUGAGGAGCGAAAGCAUGGGGAGCGAACAGG
RNAcentral lists this ribosomal RNA (253 nucleotides) under uncultured bacterium. RNAcentral's name for it is "partial 16S ribosomal RNA". It matches the Rfam family "Bacterial small subunit ribosomal RNA", at positions 524 to 776 of the family's 1533-position model. The record is from RNAcentral.